Molecule: non-coding RNA, 115 nt
Organism: Caerostris darwini
Lineage: Eukaryota; Metazoa; Arthropoda; Arachnida; Araneae; Araneidae
Source: the annotation of a GenBank genome assembly
AACGGCCGUACCAUGCUGAAUAUACCGGUUCUCGUUAGAUCACCGAAGUCAAGCAUCAUUGGGCGCGGUGGUCAGUACUUGGGUGGGUGGCCACAUGGGAACACCGCGUGCCGUU